RNAcentral lists this ribosomal RNA (694 nucleotides) under uncultured bacterium. Its description in RNAcentral is "bacterial SSU rRNA". It matches the Rfam family "Bacterial small subunit ribosomal RNA", at positions 111 to 823 of the family's 1533-position model. The record is from RNAcentral.
UAACGCGUGGGUAACCUGCCUCACACUGGGGGAUAACAGUUAGAAAUAGCUGCUAAUACCGCAUAAGCGCACGGUUCCGCAUGGAACAGUGUGAAAAACUCCGGUGGUGUGAGAUGGACCCGCGUCUGAUUAGCCAGUUGGCGGGGUAACGGCCCACCAAAGCGACGAUCAGUAGUCGGCCUGAGAGGGUGAACGGCCACAUUGGGACUGAGACACGGCCCAAACUCCUACGGGAGGCAGCAGUGGGGAAUAUUGCACAAUGGGGGAAACCCUGAUGCAGCGACGCCGCGUGAGUGAAGAAGUAUUUCGGUAUGUAAAGCUCUAUCAGCAGGGAAGAAAGUGACGGUACCUGAAUAAGAAGCCCCGGCUAACUACGUGCCAGCAGCCGCGGUAAUACGUAGGGGGCAAGCGUUAUCCGGAUUUACUGGGUGUAAAGGGAGCGUAGACGGCAAGGCAAGUCUGAAGUGAAAGCCCGGUGCUUAACGCCGGGACUGCUUUGGAAACUGUUUGGCUGGAGUGCCGGAGAGGUAAGCGGAAUUCCUAGUGUAGCGGUGAAAUGCGUAGAUAUUAGGAAGAACACCAGUGGCGAAGGCGGCUUACUGGACGGCAACUGACGUUGAGGCUCGAAAGCGUGCGGAGCAAACAGGAUUAGAUACCCUGGUAGUCCACGCCGUAAACGAUGAUUGCUAGGUGU